This 460-nucleotide ribosomal RNA is filed under the name uncultured bacterium. Its description in RNAcentral is "partial 16S ribosomal RNA". It matches the Rfam family "Bacterial small subunit ribosomal RNA", at positions 338 to 795 of the family's 1533-position model. The record is from RNAcentral.
CCUACGGGUGGCAGCAGUGAGGAAUAUUGGUCAAUGGGCGCGAGCCUGAACCAGCCAAGUAGCGUGAAGGAUGACUGCCCUACGGGUUGUACACUUCUUUUAUAAAGGACUAAAGUGAGGCACGUGUGCCUUUUUGUAUGUACUUUAUGAAUAAGGAUCGGCUAACUCCGUGCCAGCAGCCGCGGUAAUACGGAGGAACCGAGCGUUAUCCGGAUUUAUUGGGUUUAAUGGGAGCGUAGAUGGGUUGUUAAGUCAGUUGUGAAAGUUUGCGGGUCAACCGUAAAAUUGCAAUUGAUACUGGCAGUCUUGAGUACAGUUGAGGUAUGCGGAAGUCGUGGUGUAGCGGUGAAAUGCUUAGAUAUCACGAAGAACUCCGAUUGCGAAGGCAGCUUACUAAACUGCCACUGACAUUGAUGCUCGAAAGUGUGGGUAUCAAACAGGAUUAGAUACCCGUGUAGUC